AUGGGAGCUGAUGUUCUGUGCUGUUGGUCUCUUGCAGAGCUGGAUCUGGCUUCACCCUACGGGCAGACCCUGGAGCCAGCACAGGACCUGCUUAGCCUCAGUGGCCAUGGACCCUUACCUGGGUCAGUAGCCACAAUAUUUUACCCUGCCUGGAAGCAUCUGCUGAAGUUCCAUCACAAGAAGUAUUUCUCUGACUCUCGCGGCCUGCAGAUCACUGGUGCUUACAGAAGAGGCAAAGAUGAAUCUGCCAACAGGUUUGCCCCUUGCCAAGUGGUGGAUUUUAUUAUGAACAAUGAUAAGAGAAAGAGGGGAAGAAGAGGAAGAGAAGGAAGAAGGAAGGGGAGAAGAGAAGUAAUCACUACCCCUCUGCCUGUUGAACUUGGUGAUGGUCUCCAUUCUACUCUGUGCUCAUCUCCACAACAUUCUAAAAGCUCACUCCAGGCCUUUGGGAAAGGGCUGCCCCUGGUCCAGCACUGACACCCCGGCAUUGAAGAGAGGUCCCCUCACCGCUGGAGGCUCUGUGAAUGGGUGAGUGAUGGAUGGAAUGAUUCCAUCUCUUCAGUAACACCCC
RNAcentral lists this long non-coding RNA (571 nucleotides) under Capra hircus (goat). RNAcentral's name for it is "lncRNA (ENSCHIG00000001151.1)". Lineage: Eukaryota; Metazoa; Chordata; Mammalia; Artiodactyla; Bovidae. The record is from RNAcentral.